Zalophus californianus (California sea lion) is the source of this 256-nucleotide long non-coding RNA. RefSeq lists it as uncharacterized. The record is from RefSeq and is a predicted model, not a curated record. Lineage: Eukaryota; Metazoa; Chordata; Mammalia; Carnivora; Otariidae. The transcript has 3 exons.
CCGGCCCGAGACGCGCCUCCCGGAGGCUUUGGCUGCCCCAAACCCGGCCCCUUCGGCCACGGGGAGCCCGGGCCUCGAGAAACCGACCAGCUGCCGUCGCCGAGGGGCCAUGACCGCCAACUUACAAUGUGUGAUUAAGAACGAUUGCGAUUGGGGCGCCUGGGUGGCUCAGUGGUUGGGCGUCUGCCUUCGGCUCAGGCAGUAUGUACGUCUUCACAGUGCUCGGUGCUUCUGAGAGAUGGAUGAACAAUUCCAG